This 78-nucleotide transfer RNA is filed under the name Rattus norvegicus (Norway rat). It matches the Rfam family "tRNA". From Rfam's summary of the family: Transfer RNA (tRNA) molecules are approximately 80 nucleotides in length. Their secondary structure includes four short double-helical elements and three loops (D, anti-codon, and T loops). The record is from Rfam by way of RNAcentral. Lineage: Eukaryota; Metazoa; Chordata; Mammalia; Rodentia; Muridae.
GUCGUAAUGGCCAAGUGGUUAAGGCAAUGGACUAGAACUCCGUUUCUCUAUGCACAGGUUCAAGUCCUGCCAACUAUG